UGCGGGAAACUGCCGGUAAUACCGGAUAAUGUCUCCGGACCAAAGGUGUAAUUCCGUCUGAGGAUGGGUCUGCGUCCUAUUAGCUUGAUGGUGGGGUAACGGCCUACCAUGGCGAUUAUGGGUAACGGGUGUGAGAGCAUGGCCCGUGUCACUGGGACUGAGACACUGCCCAGACACCUACGGGUGGCUGCAGUCGAGGAUCUUCGGCAAUGGGCGCAAGCCUGACCGAGCGACGCCGCGUGCGGGAUGAAGGCUUUCGGGUUGUAAACCGCUGUCGGAGGGGAUGAAAUGCAUGGGGGUUCUCUCCCAUGUUUGACAAAUCCUCGGAGGAAGUACGGGCUAAGUUCGUGCCAGCAGCCGCGGUAAGACGGACCGUACAAACGUUAUUCGGAAUCACUGGGCUUAAAGGGUGCGUAGGCGGCACGGCAAGUUGGGUGUGAAAUCCCUCGGCUCAACCGAGGAAUUGCGCCCAAAACUGCCGCGCUCGAGGGAGAUAGAGGUGGGCGGAACUUAGGGUGGAGCGGUGAAAUGCGUUGAUAUCCUAAGGAACACCUGUGGCGAAAGCGGCUCACUGGGUCUCUUCUGACGCUGAGGCACGAAAGCUAGGGGAGCAAACGGGAUUAGAUACCCCGGUAGUCCUAGCUGUAAACGAUGAGCACUGGGCCGGAGGGUCCUCCAUAGCCUUCCGGCCGAAGCGAAAGUGGUUAGUGCUCCGCCUGGGGAGUAUGGUCGCAGGCUGAACUCAAGGAAUUGACGGGGGCUCACACAAGCGGUGGAGGAUGUGGCUUAAUUCGAGGCUACGCGAAGAACCUUAUCCUGGCCUUGACAUGCAC
Molecule: ribosomal RNA, 833 nt
Filed under: uncultured Planctomycetota bacterium
Lineage: Bacteria; Pseudomonadati; Planctomycetota
Description: bacterial SSU rRNA
Rfam family: Bacterial small subunit ribosomal RNA
Source: RNAcentral